Molecule: ribosomal RNA, 433 nt
Filed under: uncultured bacterium
Lineage: Bacteria
Description: partial 16S ribosomal RNA
Rfam family: Bacterial small subunit ribosomal RNA
Source: RNAcentral
AACGAACGCUGGCGGCAUGCCUAACACAUGCAAGUCGAACGAGACCUUCGGGUCUAGUGGCGCACGGGUGCGUAACGCGUGGGAACCUGCCCUUAGGUUCGGAAUAACUCUCCGACAGGGGUGCUAAUACCGGAUAAUGUCUUCGGACCAAAGAUUUAUCGCCUUUGGUUGGGCCCGCGUUGGAUUAGCUAGUUGGUAGGGUAAAAGCCUACCAAGGCGACGAUCCAUAGCUGGUCUGAGAGGAUGAUCAGCCACACUGGGACUGAGACACGGCCCAGACUCCUACGGGAGGCAGCAGUGGGGAAUAUUGGACAAUGGGCGAAAGCCUGAUCCAGCAAUGCCGCGUGAGUGAUGAAGGCCUUAGGGUUGUAAAGCUCUUUUACCCGGGAUGAUAAUGACAGUACCGGGAGAAUAAGCUCCGGCUAACUCCGUG